AGUGAACGCUGGCGGUAGGCCUAACACAUGCAAGUCGAACGGCAGCACAGUAAGAGCUUGCUCUUACGGGUGGCGAGUGGCGGACGGGUGAGGUAUACAUCGGAAUCUACUUUUUCGUGGGGGAUAACGUAGGGAAACUUACGCUAAUACCGCAUACGACCUACGGGUGAAAGCAGGGGAUCUUCUGACCUUGCGCGAUUGAAUGAGCCGAUGUCGGAUUAGCUAGUUGGCGGGGUAAAGGCCCACCAAGUCGACGAUUCGUAGCUGGUCUGAGAGGAGGGUCGGCCACAUUGGAAGUUGGCCACGGUCCAGAGUACUACGGGAGGGAGCAGUGGGGAAUAGUGGGCAGUGGUGGGAAACCUGGUCCAGUCAUCGCGAGUGUGUGAAGAAGGCGUUCGGGUUGUAAAGCCCGUUUUUGGGGAAAGAACAGCAGCAGGUUAAGACCCCGCGGUUCUGACGGUACCCAAAGAAGAAGCACCGGCUAACUUCGUG
Molecule: ribosomal RNA, 492 nt
Filed under: uncultured bacterium
Lineage: Bacteria
Description: partial 16S ribosomal RNA
Rfam family: Bacterial small subunit ribosomal RNA
Source: RNAcentral